GGGUCGGUCGUCCAACCUGGUUAAGAUGCCACCCUUACAAGGUGGAGAUUGUAGGUUCGAAUCCUGCCCGACCCA
RNAcentral lists this transfer RNA (75 nucleotides) under Candidatus Bathyarchaeota archaeon. RNAcentral describes it as "tRNA-Val". It matches the Rfam family "tRNA". From Rfam's summary of the family: Transfer RNA (tRNA) molecules are approximately 80 nucleotides in length. Their secondary structure includes four short double-helical elements and three loops (D, anti-codon, and T loops). Further hydrogen bonds mediate the characteristic L-shaped molecular structure. tRNAs have two regions of fundamental functional importance: the anti-codon, which is responsible for specific mRNA codon recognition, and the 3' end, to which the tRNAs corresponding amino acid is attached (by aminoacyl-tRNA synthetases). tRNAs cope with the degeneracy of the genetic code in two manners: having more than one tRNA (with a specific anti-codon) for a particular amino acid; and 'wobble' base-pairing, i.e. permitting non-standard base-pairing at the 3rd anti-codon position. Lineage: Archaea; Thermoproteati; Candidatus Bathyarchaeota. The record is from RNAcentral.